This 407-nucleotide ribosomal RNA is filed under the name uncultured bacterium. RNAcentral's name for it is "partial 16S ribosomal RNA". It matches the Rfam family "Bacterial small subunit ribosomal RNA", at positions 30 to 526 of the family's 1533-position model. The record is from RNAcentral.
AUUGAACGCUGGCUGCAGGCCUAACACAUGCAAGUCGAGCGGAGCGGCGGACGGGUGAGUAAUGCCUAGGAAUCUGCCUGGUAGUGGGGGAUAACGUCCGGAAACGGGCGCUAAUACCGCAUACUCUCAGAUGAGCCUAGGUCGGAUUAGCUAGUUGGUGGGGUAAAGGCCUACCAAGGCGACGAUCCGUAACUGGUCUGAGGUGAUGAUCAGUCACACUGGAACUGAGAAACGGUCCAGACGCCUACGGGAGGAAGCAGUGGGGAAGAUUGGACAAUGGGCGAAAGCCUGAUACAGCCAUGCCGCGUGUGUGAAGAAGGCCUUCGGAGUGUAAAGAACUUUAAGUUGGGAGGCGUUACCCGCAGAAGAAGCACCGGCUAACUCCGUGUCAGCAGCCGCGGUAAUAC